UGCCAGCAGCCGCGGUAAGACGGAGGGGGCUAGCGUUGUUCGGAAUUACUGGGCGUAAAGGGCGCGUAGGCGGAUUGGUAAGUUAGAAGUGAAAGCCCGAGGCUUAACCUCGGAACUGCUUUUAAAACUACCAGUCUUGAGUGAAGUAGGGGGUGAUGGAAUUCCUAGUGUAGAGGUGAAAUUCUUAGAUAUUAGGAGGAACACCGGUGGCGAAGGCGGUCACCUGGACUUCAACUGACGCUGAGGCGCGAAAGCGUGGGGAGCAAACAGGAUUAGAUA
This 279-nucleotide ribosomal RNA is filed under the name uncultured bacterium. Its description in RNAcentral is "partial 16S ribosomal RNA". It matches the Rfam family "Bacterial small subunit ribosomal RNA", at positions 506 to 784 of the family's 1533-position model. The record is from RNAcentral.